RNAcentral lists this ribosomal RNA (254 nucleotides) under uncultured bacterium. RNAcentral describes it as "partial 16S ribosomal RNA". It matches the Rfam family "Bacterial small subunit ribosomal RNA", at positions 524 to 776 of the family's 1533-position model. The record is from RNAcentral.
CACGUAGGCACCAAGCGUUGUCCGGAUUUAUUGGGCGUAAAGAGCUCGUAGGCGGUUCAGUAAGUCAGGUGUGAAAUCUUUGGGCUUAACCCAAAGCGUGCACUUGAUACUGCUGUGACUUGAGUUCGGUAGGGGAGUGGGGAAUUCCUAGUGUAGCGGUGAAAUGCGCAGAUAUUAGGAGGAACACCGGUGGCGAAGGCGCCACUCUGGGCCGAAACUGACGCUGAUGCGCGAAAGCCAGGGGAGCGAACGGG